RNAcentral lists this ribosomal RNA (424 nucleotides) under uncultured cyanobacterium. RNAcentral describes it as "bacterial SSU rRNA". It matches the Rfam family "Bacterial small subunit ribosomal RNA", at positions 357 to 795 of the family's 1533-position model. Lineage: Bacteria; Bacillati; Cyanobacteriota. The record is from RNAcentral.
GGGAAUCUUCCGCAAUGGGCGAAAGCCUGACGGAGCAAUACCGCGUGAGGGAGGAAGGCUCUUGGGUUGUAAACCUCUUUUCUCAGGGAAGAACAGAAUGACGGUACCUGAGGAAUAAGCAUCGGCUAACUCCGCGCCAGCAGCCGCGGUAAUACGGAGGAUGCAAGCGUUAUCCGGAAUGAUUGGGCGUAAAGAGUCCGUAGGUGGCAUUGAAAGUCUGCUGUUAAAGAGUCUAGCUCAACUAGAUAAGAGCAGUGGAAACUACAAAGCUAGAGUUUGGUCGGGGCAGAAGGAGUUCCUGGUGUAGCGGUGAAAUGCGUAGAUAUCAGGAAGAACACCGGUGGCGAAGGCGUUCUGCUAGGCCGAGACUGACACUGAGGGACGAAAGCUAGGGGAGCGAAAGGGAUUAGAUACCCCUGUAGUC